This 429-nucleotide ribosomal RNA is filed under the name Bacteroidota bacterium. Its description in RNAcentral is "Bacteroidetes bacterium partial 16S ribosomal RNA". It matches the Rfam family "Bacterial small subunit ribosomal RNA", at positions 355 to 776 of the family's 1533-position model. Lineage: Bacteria; Pseudomonadati; Bacteroidota. The record is from RNAcentral.
UAGGGAAUCUUCGGCAAUGGGGGGAACCCUGACCGAGCAACGCCGCGUGAGUGAAGAAGGUUUUCGGAUCGUAAAGCUCUGUUGUUAAGGAAGAACGAGUGUGAGAAUGGAAAGUUCAUACUGUGACGGUACUUAACCAGAAAGGGACGGCUAACUACGUGCCAGCAGCCGCGGUAAUACGUAGGUCCCGAGCGUUGUCCGGAUUUAUUGGGCGUAAAGCGAGCGCAGGCGGUUAGAUAAGUCUGAAGUUAAAGGCAGUGGCUCAACCAUUGUAGGCUUUGGAAACUGUUUAACUUGAGUGCAGAAGGGGAGGGUGGAAUUCCAUGUGUAGCGGUGAAAUGCGUAGAUAUAUGGAGGAACACCAGUGGCGAAGGCGACUCUCUGGUCUGUAACUGACGCUGAGGCUCGAAAGCGUGGGUAGCAAACAGG